UCUUAUUAUGAGAAGCUGAGGGAUUUGGCCCAGUGACGCUUCAGCAACCGACAGUAAUGCACGGUGCUAAAACCAACGAGAUACUCGAAUGAUAAG
Molecule: non-coding RNA, 96 nt
Filed under: Staphylococcus lugdunensis
Lineage: Bacteria; Bacillati; Bacillota; Bacilli; Caryophanales; Staphylococcaceae
Description: SAM riboswitch aptamer (S box leader)
Rfam family: SAM riboswitch aptamer (S box leader)
About the family: The SAM riboswitch is found upstream of a number of genes which code for proteins involved in methionine or cysteine biosynthesis in Gram-positive bacteria. The SAM riboswitch acts at the level of transcription termination control.
Source: RNAcentral